This 497-nucleotide ribosomal RNA is filed under the name uncultured bacterium. Its description in RNAcentral is "partial 16S ribosomal RNA". It matches the Rfam family "Bacterial small subunit ribosomal RNA", at positions 28 to 507 of the family's 1533-position model. The record is from RNAcentral.
GACGAACGCUGGCGGCGUGCCUAAUACAUGCAAGUUGGGCGCUGAAGGUUGGUACUUGUACCAACUGGAUGAGCAGCGAACGGGUGAGUAACGCGUGGGGAAUCUGCCUUUGAGCGGGGGACAACAUUUGGAAACGAAUGCUAAUACCGCAUAAAAACUUUAAACACAAGUUUUAAGUUUGAAAGAUGCAAUUGCAUCACUCAAAGAUGAUCCCGCGUUGUAUUAGCUAGUUGGUGAGGUAAAGGCUCACCAAGGCGAUGAUACAUAGCCGACCUGAGAGGGUGAUCGGCCACAUUGGGACUGAGACACGGCCCAAACUCCUACGGGAGGCAGCAGUAGGGAAUCUUCGGCAAUGGACGAAAGUCUGACCGAGCAACGCCGCGUGAGUGAAGAAGGGUUUCGGAUCGUAAAACUCUGUUGGUAGAGAAGAACGUUGGUGAGAGUGGAAAGCUCAUCAAGUGACGGUAACUACCCAGAAAGGGGCGGCUAACUACGUG